RNAcentral lists this ribosomal RNA (469 nucleotides) under uncultured diatom. RNAcentral's name for it is "SSU rRNA". It matches the Rfam family "Bacterial small subunit ribosomal RNA", at positions 217 to 699 of the family's 1533-position model. Lineage: Eukaryota; Bacillariophyta. The record is from RNAcentral.
GCCUAAAGAAAAGCUCGCGGCUGAUUAGCUUGUUGGUAAGGUAAUGGCUUACCAAGGCGACGAUCAGUAUCUGGUUUGAGAGGACGAUCAGACACACUGGAACUGAGACACGGUCCAGACUCCUACGGGAGGCAGCAGUGGGGAAUUUUCCGCAAUGGGCGAAAGCCUGACGGAGCAAUACCGCGUGAGGGAAGACGGCCUAUGGGUUGUAAACCUCUUUUUUCAGGGAGGAACAAAAUGACGUGUACCUGAAGAAUAAGCAUCGGCUAACUCCGUGCCAGCAGCCGCGGUAAGACGGAGGAUGCAAGUGUUAUCCGGAAUCACUGGGCGUAAAGCGUCUGUAGGUGGUUUGUUAAGUCAACUGUUAAAUCUUGAGGCUCAACUUCAAAUCAGCAGUCGAAACUAUCGGACUAGAGUAUAGUAGGGGUGAAGGGAAUUUCCAGUGGAGCGGUGAAAUGCGUAGAUAUUG